RNAcentral lists this ribosomal RNA (232 nucleotides) under uncultured bacterium. Its description in RNAcentral is "partial 16S ribosomal RNA". It matches the Rfam family "Bacterial small subunit ribosomal RNA", at positions 565 to 793 of the family's 1533-position model. The record is from RNAcentral.
GGGUCCGUAGGUGGAUAAUUAAGUCAGAGGUGAAAGUCUGCAGCUCAACUGUAGAAUUGCCUUUGAUACUGGUUAUUCUUGAGUUAUUAUGAAGUAGUUAGAAUAUGUAGUGUAGCGGUGAAAUGCAUAGAUAUUACAUAGAAUACCAAUUGCGAAGGCAGAUUACUAAUAAUAUACUGACACUGAUGGACGAAAGCGUGGGGAGCGAACAGGAUUAGAUACCCCUCGGUAG